Molecule: ribosomal RNA, 620 nt
Filed under: uncultured soil bacterium
Lineage: Bacteria
Description: bacterial SSU rRNA
Rfam family: Bacterial small subunit ribosomal RNA
Source: RNAcentral
ACGCUGGCGGCAGGCCUAAUACAUGCAAGUCGAGCGCGUGUAGCAAUACACGAGCGGCGGACGGGUGAGUAACACGUGGGAACAUGCCUAUCGGUUCGGAAUAACGUAGGGAAACUUGCGCUAAUACCGGGUACGCCCGAAAGGGGAAAGAUUUAUCGCCGAUAGAUUGGCCCGCGUUGGAUUAGCUAGUUGGCGGGGUAAAAGCCCACCAAGGCGACGAUCCAUAGCUGGUUUGAGAGAACGAUCAGCCACACUGGGACUGAGACACGGCCCAGACUCCUACGGGAGGCAGCAGUAGGGAAUCUUGGACAAUGGGGGAAACCCUGAUCCAGCCAUGCCGCGUGAGUGAUGAAGGCCUUCGGGUUGUAAAACUCUUUCGACGGGGACGAUAAUGACGGUACCCGUAGAAGAAGCUCCGGCUAACUUCGUGCCAGCAGCCGCGGUAAUACGAAGGGGGCUAGCGUUGUUCGGAAUUACUGGGCGUAAAGCGCGCGCAGGCGGCCAUUCAAGUCAGGGGUGAAAUCCCAGAGCUCAACUCUGGAAUUGCCUUUGAGACUGUCUGGCUUCGAGUACGGGAGAGGUGAGUGGAAUUCCCAGUGUAGAGGUGAAAUUCGUAGAUA